This 483-nucleotide ribosomal RNA is filed under the name uncultured bacterium. RNAcentral describes it as "partial 16S ribosomal RNA". It matches the Rfam family "Bacterial small subunit ribosomal RNA", at positions 28 to 506 of the family's 1533-position model. The record is from RNAcentral.
GAUUAACGCUAGCGGCAGGCAUAAUACAUGCAAGUUGAACGGCAGCACAGGUAGCAAUACUGGGUGGCGAGUGGCGCACGGGUGCGUAACACGUAUGCAACCUACCCUAUACAGGCGAAUAACCUUUAGAAAUGAGGGCUAAUACGCCGUAGUAUUACAGAUGGGCAUCUAUUUGUAAUUAAAGAUUUAUCGGUAUAGGAUGGGCAUGCGUCCCAUUAGUUAGUUGGUAAGGUAACGGCUUACCAAGACGAUGAUGGGUAGGGGAUCUGAGAGGACUUACCCCCACACUGGUACUGAGACACGGACCAGACUCCUACGGGAGGCAGCAGUAAGGAAUAAUAGGCAAUGGCCGCGAGGCUGACCCAGCCAGGCCGCGUGAAGGAAGACGGCCUUAUGGGUUGUAAACUGCUUUUAUACGGGAAUAAUAGAGUGUACGCGUACAUUUAUGCAAGUAUCGUAUGAAUAAGCAUCGGCUAACUCCGU